GAUGAACGCUGGCGGCGUGCCUAAUACAUGCAAGUCGAGCGAACGGACGAGAAGCUUGCUUCUCUGAUGUUAGCGGCGGACGGGUGAGUAACACGUGGAUAACCUACCUAUAAGACUGGGAUAACUUCGGGAAACCGGAGCUAAUACCGGAUAAUAUUUUGAACCGCAUGGUUCAAAAGUGAAAGACGGUCUUGCUGUCACUUAUAGAUGGAUCCGCGCUGCAUUAGCUAGUUGGUAAGGUAACGGCUUACCAAGGCAACGAUGCAUAGCCGACCUGAGAGGGUGAUCGGCCACACUGGAACUGAGACACGGUCCAGACUCCUACGGGAGGCAGCAGUAGGGAAUCUUCCGCAAUGGGCGAAAGCCUGACGGAGCAACGCCGCGUGAGUGAUGAAGGUCUUCGGAUCGUAAACUCUGUUAUUAGGGAAGAACAUAUGUGUAAGUAACUGUGCACAUCUUGACGGUACCUAAUCAGAAAGCCACGGCUAACUACGUGCCAGCAGCCGCGGUAAUACGUAGGUGGCAAGCGUUAUCCGGAAUUAUUGGGCGUAAAGCGCGCGUAGGCGGUUUUUUAGUCUGAUGUGAAAGCCCACGGCUCAACCGUGGAGGGUCAUUGGAAACUGGAAAACUUGAGUGCAGAAGAGGAAAGUGGAAUUCCAUGUGUAGCGGUGAAAUGCGCAGAGAUAUGGAGGAACACCAGUGGCGAAGGCGACUUUCUGGUCUGUAACUGACGCUGAUGUGCGAAAGCGUGGGGAUCAAACAGGAUUAGAUACCCUGGUAGUCCACGCCGUAAACGAUGAGUGCUAAGUGUUAGGGGGUUUCCGCCCCUUAGUGCUGCAGCUAACGCAUUAAGCACUCCGCCUGGGGAGUACGACCGCAAGGUUGAAACUCAAAGGAAUUGACGGGGACCCGCACAAGCGGUGGAGCAUGUGGUUUAAUUCGAAGCAACGCGAAGAACCUUACCAAAUCUUGACAUCCUUUGACAACUCUAGAGAUAGAGCCUUCCCCUUCGGGGGACAAAGUGACAGGUGGUGCAUGGUUGUCGUCAGCUCGUGUCGUGAGAUGUUGGGUUAAGUCCCGCAACGAGCGCAACCCUUAAGCUUAGUUGCCAUCAUUAAGUUGGGCACUCUAAGUUGACUGCCGGUGACAAACCGGAGGAAGGUGGGGAUGACGUCAAAUCAUCAUGCCCCUUAUGAUUUGGGCUACACACGUGCUACAAUGGACAAUACAAAGGGCAGCGAAACCGCGAGGUCAAGCAAAUCCCAUAAAGUUGUUCUCAGUUCGGAUUGUAGUCUGCAACUCGACUAUAUGAAGCUGGAAUCGCUAGUAAUCGUAGAUCAGCAUGCUACGGUGAAUACGUUCCCGGGUCU
RNAcentral lists this ribosomal RNA (1370 nucleotides) under uncultured bacterium. RNAcentral describes it as "bacterial SSU rRNA". It matches the Rfam family "Bacterial small subunit ribosomal RNA", at positions 28 to 1381 of the family's 1533-position model. The record is from RNAcentral.